AUUGAACGCUGGCGGCAUGCCUUACACAUGCAAGUCGAACGGCAGCGCGGGCUUCGGCCUGGCGGCGAGUGGCGAACGGGUGAGUAAUAUAUCGGAACGUACCCAGGAGUGGGGGAUAACGUAGCGAAAGUUACGCUAAUACCGCAUACGUCCUAAGGGAGAAAGCAGGGGAUCGCAAGACCUUGUGCUCAUGGAGCGGCCGAUAUCUGAUUAGCUAGUUGGUGGGGUAAAAGCCUACCAAGGCAACGAUCAGUAGCUGGUCUGAGAGGACGACCAGCCACACUGGAACUGAGACACGGUCCAGACUCCUACGGGAGGCAGCAGUGGGGAAUUUUGGACAAUGGGGGCAACCCUGAUCCAGCAAUGCCGCGUGAGUGAAGAAGGCCCUCGGGUUGUAAAGCUCUUUUGUCAGGGGAAGAAAAGGCUGUGGCUAAAUAUCCACGGCUCAUGACGGUACCUGAAGAAUAAGCACCGGCUAAACUACGUGCCAGCAGCCGCGGU
RNAcentral lists this ribosomal RNA (501 nucleotides) under uncultured bacterium. Its description in RNAcentral is "bacterial SSU rRNA". It matches the Rfam family "Bacterial small subunit ribosomal RNA", at positions 30 to 521 of the family's 1533-position model. The record is from RNAcentral.